UAGGGAAUCUUCGGCAAUGGAGGCAACCCUGACCGAGCAACGCCGCGUGAGUGAAGAAGGUUUUCGGAUCGUAAAGCUCUGUUGUAAGAGAAGAACGUGUGUGAGAGUGGAAAGUUCACACAGUGACGGUAACUUACCAGAAAGGGACGGCUAACUACGUGCCAGCAGCCGCGGUAAUACGUAGGUCCCGAGCGUUGUCCGGAUUUAUUGGGCGUAAAGCGAGCGCAGGCGGUUUAAUAAGUCUGAAGUUAAAGGCAGUGGCUUAACCAUUGUUCGCUUUGGAAACUGUUAGACUUGAGUGCAGAAGGGGAGAGUGGAAUUCCAUGUGUAGCGGUGAAAUGCGUAGAUAUAUGGAGGAACACCGGUGGCGAAAGCGGCUCUCUGGUCUGUAACUGACGCUGAGGCUCGAAAGCGUGGGGAGCAAACAG
RNAcentral lists this ribosomal RNA (428 nucleotides) under uncultured bacterium. RNAcentral describes it as "bacterial SSU rRNA". It matches the Rfam family "Bacterial small subunit ribosomal RNA", at positions 355 to 775 of the family's 1533-position model. The record is from RNAcentral.